GAUGAACGCUGGCGGCGUGCUUAAUACAUGCAAGUCGAGCGAACAGACGAGGAGCUUGCUCCUCUGACGUUAGCGGCGGACGGGUGAGUAACACGUGGAUAACCUACCUAUAAGACUGGGAUAACUUCGGGAAACCGGAGCUAAUACCGGAUAACAUGUUGAACCGCAUGGUUUAACAGUGAAAGACGGUUUUGCUGUCACUUAUAGAUGGAUCCGCGCCGCAUUAGCUAGUUGGUAAGGUAACGGCUUACCAAGGCAACGAUGCGUAGCCGACCUGAGAGGGUGAUCGGCCACACUGGAACUGAGACACGGUCCAGACUCCUACGGGAGGCAGCAGUAGGGAAUCUUCCGCAAUGGGCGAAAGCCUGACGGAGCAACGCCGCGUGAGUGAAGAAGGUCUUCGGAUCGUAAAACUCUGUUAUUAGGGAAGAACAAAUGUGUAAGUAACUAGGCACGUGUUGACGGUACCUAAUCAGAAAGCCACGGCUAACUACGUG
RNAcentral lists this ribosomal RNA (497 nucleotides) under uncultured bacterium. RNAcentral describes it as "partial 16S ribosomal RNA". It matches the Rfam family "Bacterial small subunit ribosomal RNA", at positions 28 to 507 of the family's 1533-position model. The record is from RNAcentral.